GAACUGAACGACCGGGCUUCACAACAAAAACAUGGCCACAUGAGUUGGAUUAUUCCGCAGCCCAACAUCAAUUUCAAUCGGUGAUAUUGUUUCUCAUGCAGUCGAAUAUCUGAGAGCUCAUUGCAACAAUGGAUUCCAAAAAUCCAAUCCUGAGAAACGCUUUACAGUGAUUAUGUCCCUCAUGUAAUAUUAUCGUGAACAUUAAUCAACAUGUCUGCAAGUGUGGCUAUAGGCUUUUUGAUGUCAAACGUAAAGCUCAGCCGGAAAGCCAGGCUCAGGCAAAUAUCAAGAGAUCAGAAAAAAAAAAACAUAUACCUGUUGUACAUGGUAAGCUCACUUAUAUUUUUAUUCACAAUGUUUAAUAUGGAAAUAAAUAACAUAUAAUUGAUUAAUUUAAUUUUAUUUAAAGGAAAUAUUUUACUCCCUUUCAUAUUGUUGUAAAGAUUACCAACAUAUAUUGUCAAAUGAGCAAUUUAUGUCAUCUGCAUUUAAAAUACAGCUUUCACACACUUCACGUAUUUGUGUUGGAUAAUAUCAUUUUCCAGCUUUACAUAGAAUACUUUGUGUUCUUUAUCUAUGUUCAGAUGAGUUGCAUAAAAGUGUGCAAGAUUUACAACA
This is a non-coding RNA of Procambarus clarkii (red swamp crayfish), 618 nucleotides long. NCBI's taxonomy places the organism in Eukaryota, Metazoa, Arthropoda, Malacostraca, Decapoda, Cambaridae. The record is from RefSeq and is a predicted model, not a curated record.